UACAGAGACUGCAAGCGUUAUUCGGAUUCACUGGGCGUAAAGGGUGCGCAGGCGGUUGGGUGUGUCAGAUGUGAAAUCCCGAGGCUCAACCUCGGAACUGCGUCUGAAACUACUCGACUAGAGUACUGGAGAGGGUAACGGAAUUCACGGUGUAGCAGUGAAAUGCGUAGAUAUCGUGAGGAACACCAGAGGCGAAGGCGGUUACCUGGACAGUUACUGACGCUCAGGCGCGCAAGCAUGGGGAGCAAAAGGG
Molecule: ribosomal RNA, 253 nt
Filed under: uncultured bacterium
Lineage: Bacteria
Description: partial 16S ribosomal RNA
Rfam family: Bacterial small subunit ribosomal RNA
Source: RNAcentral